Molecule: ribosomal RNA, 520 nt
Filed under: uncultured bacterium
Lineage: Bacteria
Description: bacterial SSU rRNA
Rfam family: Bacterial small subunit ribosomal RNA
Source: RNAcentral
AGGACGAACGCUGGCGGCGUGCCUAAUACAUGCAAGUCGAACGGUCUUUCUAUGGAAGCUUGCUUCCACUGAGAAGAUAGUGGCGAACGGGUGAGUAACACGUGGGUAACCUGCCCAUAAGAGGGGGGAUAACAUCCGGAAACGGGUGCUAAUACCGCAUAGUUUUCUUGAUCGCAUGAUUGAGAAAGGAAAGACGGCCUUUGUGCUGUCGCUUAUGGAUGGACCCGCGGCGUAUUAGUUAGUUGGUGAGGUAACGGCUCACCAAGACGAUGAUACGUAGCCGACCUGAGAGGGUGAUCGGCCACAUUGGGACUGAGACACGGCCCAAACUCCUACGGGAGGCAGCAGUAGGGAAUCUUCCGCAAUGGACGAAAGUCUGACGGAGCAACGCCGCGUGAGUGAAGAAAGGUUUUCGGAUCGUAAAACUCUGUUGUCAGAGAAGAACAAGUUGGAGAGUAACUGCUCCAGCCUUGACGGUAUCUGACCAGAAAGCCACGGCUAACUACGUGCCAGCCGCCGC